This 157-nucleotide small nuclear RNA is filed under the name Zalophus californianus (California sea lion). RNAcentral's name for it is "U4 spliceosomal RNA (ENSZCAG00015004554.1)". The stretch from base 1 to 127 matches the Rfam family "U4 spliceosomal RNA". Rfam says of the family: U4 small nuclear RNA (U4 snRNA) is a component of the major U2-dependent spliceosome. The structure of U4 snRNA from yeast and human has been reported. The record is from RNAcentral. Lineage: Eukaryota; Metazoa; Chordata; Mammalia; Carnivora; Otariidae.
AGCUUUGCGCAGUGGUAGUAUCCUAGCCAAUGAGGUUUAUCCGAGGCGCGAUUAUUGCUAAUUAAAAUCCCUCUACCAUUCUCAUGCUUUUCUAAGAGGAAAAGUCAAAGCCCAAAUAAUAACCUAUAAAAUCCUAGAGAGUCUGAACCCAAUGGUU